RNAcentral lists this ribosomal RNA (605 nucleotides) under Fusarium culmorum. RNAcentral's name for it is "SSU rRNA". It matches the Rfam family "Eukaryotic small subunit ribosomal RNA", at positions 630 to 1241 of the family's 1831-position model. Lineage: Eukaryota; Fungi; Ascomycota; Sordariomycetes; Hypocreales; Nectriaceae. The record is from RNAcentral.
GUAGUUGAACCUUGGGCCUGGCUGGCCGGUCCGCCUCACCGCGUGUACUGGUCCGGCCGGGCCUUUCCCUCUGUGGAACCCCAUGCCCUUCACUGGGCGUGGCGGGGAAACAGGACUUUUACUGUGAAAAAAUUAGAGUGCUCCAGGCAGGCCUAUGCUCGAAUACAUUAGCAUGGAAUAAUAGAAUAGGACGUGUGGUUCUAUUUUGUUGGUUUCUAGGACCGCCGUAAUGAUUAAUAGGGACAGUCGGGGGCAUCAGUAUUCAAUUGUCAGAGGUGAAAUUCUUGGAUUUAUUGAAGACUAACUACUGCGAAAGCAUUUGCCAAGGAUGUUUUCAUUAAUCAGGAACGAAAGUUAGGGGAUCGAAGACGAUCAGAUACCGUCGUAGUCUUAACCAUAAACUAUGCCGACUAGGGAUCGGACGGUGUUAUUUUUUGACCCGUUCGGCACCUUACGAGAAAUCAAAGUGCUUGGGCUCCAGGGGGAGUAUGGUCGCAAGGCUGAAACUUAAAGAAAUUGACGGAAGGGCACCACCAGGGGUGGAGCCUGCGGCUUAAUUUGACUCAACACGGGGAAACUCACCAGGUCCAGACACAAUAAGGAUU